This 468-nucleotide ribosomal RNA is filed under the name uncultured bacterium. Its description in RNAcentral is "partial 16S ribosomal RNA". It matches the Rfam family "Bacterial small subunit ribosomal RNA", at positions 28 to 507 of the family's 1533-position model. The record is from RNAcentral.
GACGAACGCUGGCGGCGUGCUUAACACAUGCAAGUCGAACGGAAAGGCCCUGCUUUUGUGGGGUGCUCGAGUGGCGAACGGGUGAGUAACACGUGAGUAACCUGCCCUUGACUUUGUGAUAACUUCAGGAAACUGGGGCUAAUACCGGAUAGGAGCUCCUGCUGCAUGGUGGGGGUUGGAAAGUUUCGGCGGUUGGAGAUGGACUCGCGGCUUAUCAGCUUGUUGGUGGGGUAGUGGCUUACCAAGGCUUUGACGGGUAGCCGGCAUGAGAGGGGUACCGGGCACAAUGGGACUGAGAGACGGACCAGACGCCUACGGGAGGCAGCAGUGGGGAAUAUUGCACAAUGGGCGGAAGCCUGAUGCAGAAACGCCGGGUGCGGGAUGACGGCCUUCGGGUUGUAAACAGAUUUCGACGGUGACGAAGAGGGAGUGACGGUAAUGGGUAAAGAAGCACCGGCUAACUACGUG